CCCAGUUCAGGGAGGUAGUGACAAUAAAUACCUUACAGAGGUCUCGUUAACCGAGAUCUCUCAAACGGAAUGAGUACAACGUGAAUCCUUUAACGAGGAUCGACUGGAGGGCAAGCCUGGUGCCAGCAGCCGCGGUAAUUCCAGCUCCAGUAGCGUAUAUUAAAGCUGUUGCGGUUAAAAAGCUCGUAGUUGGAUAUCAGUGCGUGUCCGGUCCGGUAUGCCUGGCACCGUCGCUCUGCGUCGGCGCUGGGCUCCCAAAUAUCGGCUGGCCGCAUUCAAUCGUGCCGGAUCCGUCGACGGGCCGUUCUUCGGAGGGGCCUGUUGGCGACCGGCGACGUUACCUUGAACAAAUUAGAGUGCUCAAAGCAGGCUCUGUAUGCCUGUAUACAUAUUCAUGGAAUUGGAGAAUACGUCCCUGGCUCGAUUUGGUUGGUUUUGAGAGUCGAAGGGAAAUGAUUAAUAGGGACUGACGGAGGCAUUCGUAUUGCGACGCGAGGGGUGAAAUCCUGUGACCGUCGCACGACGAACUACUGCGAAAGCAUUUGCCGAGAAUGUUUUCAUUAGUCAAGAACGAAAGUUAGAGGUUCGAAGGCGAUCAGAUACCGCCCUAGUUCUAACCGUAAACGAUGUCGACCAGCAAUCCGCAACGGUCACUUUACGGACUGUGCGGGCAGCUUCCCCGGGGAAACCAGAGUUUUUGGACUCCGGGGGAAGUAUGGUUGCAAAGCUGAAACUUAAAGGAAUUGACGGAAGGGCACCACCAGGAGUGGAGCUUGCGGCUUAAUUUGACUCAACACGGGACAACUCACCAGGCCCGGACACCGUAAGGAUUGACAGACUGAUAGCUCUCUCUUGAUUCAGUGGGUGGUGGUGCAUGGCCGUUCUUAGUUGGUGGAGUGAUUUGUCUGGUUUAUUCCGAUAACGAACGAGACUCUGGCCUAUUAAACUUGACACUGUCAGUCUCUUGUGACUGCGGUGCGCUUCUUAGAGGGAUCAUCGGCGUCCCAGCCGAAGGAAAGGGAGCAAUAACAGGUCUGUGAUGCCCUUAGAUGUUCUGGGCUGCACGCGUGUUACACUGAAGUGGUCAGCGCGCCGUUCAACACCCCUCUCCGUGAGGAGCUUGGGCAAACGUUUGAACCCUUUUCGUGAUGGGAAUUGGGGGUUGCAAUUG
RNAcentral lists this ribosomal RNA (1171 nucleotides) under Membranobalanus brachialis. Its description in RNAcentral is "SSU rRNA". It matches the Rfam family "Eukaryotic small subunit ribosomal RNA", at positions 450 to 1592 of the family's 1831-position model. Lineage: Eukaryota; Metazoa; Arthropoda; Thecostraca; Balanomorpha; Balanidae. The record is from RNAcentral.